UACGGAGGGUGCAAGCGUUAUCCGGAUUCACUGGGUUUAAAGGGAGCGCAGGCGGGCUGGUAAGUCAGGGGUGAAAGCCUUGAGCUUAACUCGAGAACUGCCAUUGAUACUAUCAGUCUUGAAUAUUGUUGAGGUUUGCGGAAUGGGUCAUGUAGCGGUGAAAUGCAUAGAUAUGACCCGGAACACCUAUUGCGAAGGCAGCAGGCUAAACAAAGAUUGACGCUGAGGCUCGAAAGCGUGGGGAUCAAACAGG
RNAcentral lists this ribosomal RNA (253 nucleotides) under uncultured bacterium. RNAcentral describes it as "partial 16S ribosomal RNA". It matches the Rfam family "Bacterial small subunit ribosomal RNA", at positions 524 to 776 of the family's 1533-position model. The record is from RNAcentral.